CCUACGGGGGGCAGCAGUGGGGAAUAUUGGACAAUGGGCGAAAGCCUGAUCCAGCCAUGCCGCGUGUGUGAAGAAGGCCUUCGGGUUGUAAAGCACUUUCAGUGGGGAAGAAAGCCUUGGGGCUAAUACCCUCGAGGAAGGACAUCACCCACAGAAGAAGCACCGGCUAACUCCGUGCCAGCAGCCGCGGUAAUACGGAGGGUGCGAGCGUUAAUCGGAAUUACUGGGCGUAAAGCGCGCGUAGGCGGUCUGAUAAGCCGGUUGUGAAAGCCCCGGGCUCAACCUGGGAACGGCAUCCGGAACUGUCAGGCUAGAGUGCAGGAGAGGAAGGUAGAAUUCCCGGUGUAGCGGUGAAAGGCGUAGAGAUCGGGAGGAAUACCAGUGGCGAAGGCGGCCUUCUGGACUGACACUGACGCUGAGGUGCGAAAGCGUGGGUAGCAAACAGGAUUAGAUACCCCGUAGUC
Molecule: ribosomal RNA, 464 nt
Filed under: Vreelandella stevensii
Lineage: Bacteria; Pseudomonadati; Pseudomonadota; Gammaproteobacteria; Oceanospirillales; Halomonadaceae
Description: partial 16S ribosomal RNA
Rfam family: Bacterial small subunit ribosomal RNA
Source: RNAcentral